Long non-coding RNA from Bos taurus (domestic cattle), 1340 nucleotides. The record is from Ensembl. Lineage: Eukaryota; Metazoa; Chordata; Mammalia; Artiodactyla; Bovidae.
GCUCAGUGCUGCCCAGGCAUGGGAGUAAUAAAGUGUGUUUCUGGUGGGGAGGAGGUGCUCAGGGUAAACAUUUGAGGAAAAAAAAAUGGUGAAAGUGCCUGAGGACAGAAGCCCAAGGUGCCCACCAGAUGACCCUGUUCUGUGUAAGCUGGAACAUGUGAAUUGCUGAACCUUUCAGAUUCUGCAAGAGUGGAUAUUUGAAUCCCACAAGUGUUUUGCUGGCGACUUCUGUCAUAAAAGGGGACCGUGUAUCAGUUCUCCAGAGAACUCAUUCCAGUCACAGAGGUUUGUUCUGAGACCUCUUGGGAGCUGCAGCCUGGCCGCUUGAGUUGGAGCUUCCUGAAUUCAUCCAUCGCUUUUCAUGACGCUGGACCCAGCUCCUUUGGAGAUCACAGUGGACUAUGAGAGCCAAAUGUUUCUAACAGGCCCCAUUCCCGCUUGCUGCUUCCUGAAGUGCUGUCUCCCAGUCUUUGCAGACAGCACUUUGACCUACUCCAUGCGACCGUCAUUUCCGUGCGCUCAGGGCACCCCGCGCGCCCUGAGCCACUUUCCCCUACGGAGUGAGCCCCCAAAUGGGGACGUUCAGAGACCGCUCAGCCCAGGGCAGUUGGGGUAGGGGUUGGGGUUGGGGAGAUCCCCUCUUCAUGGCAGUCGCUAUGGCCUAAUGCAGGUAAAGUCACUGCUAGCAAUUUUGAAUUUCAGAAUUUGGAAUUAUUUGCAUUAGUUAUGAAGAUUGGCCAAAUUCCAUCCGUUUGUCUUUUGCACUGUCUCCGGGGAUAAAAAUGGAUAUACAAUUUGGAGUUUACAAGAAAGGAACAAUCUGAUUCAGUUAGAUUGUGCUUCUAAUUAAACAUAAUUUCAUUAUUAUUUAAAAAAAUGUUCUUUCUCUAAAAUAUAAGUAGUUCACCUUCAGAGAAUAGGUUAUAAGAACAUAUUUAAUCACACUUUCUAGUUCAAGAGGUUGUCCUAAAUCUGCUCCUGGUAUGAUCUUGAUACAACCCUUGGUGUUGGGGAUCAUUGCUUCCAUGUUUCUCACUUCUUAUGGGGACUACAGUUGUAAUGUCCUGCUUGCCAAGCUGGAAUGUUAACCCAGACCGUCUGACUCCAAAAACUAUAAUAUCCAUUAAACCAGCGGUUCUUAACCAGGCUAUGCAUUUUAAUCUCCUGGUGAGCUUCUCAAUAUAUGUCCUCCCAGACUCAUGCUGGACUUUCUCCAUCAGAAUUCCCUGUCUGAUACUGGGUUCAUUCAAUAAAGAAACAUAAAAUGGGUAUGUAAUGCUGUGUCAGGUAGUGAUGAAUGUUUGGGGAAGGAAAAAAAAAGCAGAAUGAGGGAGUAGAGA